UACAGAGGUCCCAAGCGUUGUUCGGAUUCACUGGGCGUAAAGGGUGCGUAGGUGGUCGGGUAAGUCUGAUGUGAAAUCUCCAAGCUUAACUUGGAAAUGGCAUUGGAUACUAUUCGGCUAGAGGGUUUGAGGGGGGACUGGAAUACUUGGUGUAGCAGUGAAAUGCGUAGAUAUCAAGUGGAACACCAGUGGCGAAGGCGAGUCCCUGGAAAACUCCUGACACUGAGGAGCGAAAGCGUGGGGAGCGAACAGG
Molecule: ribosomal RNA, 253 nt
Filed under: uncultured bacterium
Lineage: Bacteria
Description: partial 16S ribosomal RNA
Rfam family: Bacterial small subunit ribosomal RNA
Source: RNAcentral